UGCAUGCACGAAUAAGUGUGCUUCAAGAAAAAUAGUCGGCUUCAUUUGCGCAUGCACAUACGCUUUGCCGGCUCCCCGACAACAACUUCAUGCGCUCCCCAGCGUGUGCGUCCUCGGGCUACUGCAUGGCUAGCUCGGCUUAGUCUAGUUAUUGACUGGCCGGCUGCUCUAGUCGGUUGUGUGGCCGGUUGCCCCUGGCUUGCUUCCCGGCCGGGUGCGCCAGCUCGGCUCCUGCCUGUGCAUCCCCGUGUGCCAACACCAUCACUCCGUCUGCCCGCGGCCGGUUCGCGCCAUCGCCGGCUUGGCCACCUGCAAUCCUUUUCUC
This 325-nucleotide long non-coding RNA is filed under the name Hordeum vulgare. RNAcentral's name for it is "long non-coding RNA (HVUL_LNC010675)". Lineage: Eukaryota; Viridiplantae; Streptophyta; Magnoliopsida; Poales; Poaceae. The record is from RNAcentral.